GGGAAACGGAAGGAGGGGCCAGCCCCAGGCUCCAUAUCAAACUUUUGGGGCA
Non-coding RNA from Fukomys damarensis (Damara mole-rat), 52 nucleotides. Lineage: Eukaryota; Metazoa; Chordata; Mammalia; Rodentia; Bathyergidae. The record is from Rfam.